GAUGAACGCUGGCGGCGUGCUUAACACAUGCAAGUCGAACGAAGCUUUUCGGAGCUUAGUGGCGGACGGGUGAGUAACGCGUGAGGACCUGCCCUUAGGAGGGGGACAACAGUUGGAAACGACUGCUAAUACCCCAUGAGCCGAGAGGUGAAACAUUUUAUGGCCUAAGGAUGAACUCGCGUCUGAUUAGCUAGUUGGUGGGGUAAGGGCUUACCAAGGCGACGAUCAGUAGCUGGUCUGAGAGGAUGACCAGCCACACUGGGACUGAGACACGGCCCAGACUCCUACGGGAGGCAGCAGUGGGGAAUUUUCCGCAAUGGGGGCAACCCUGACGGAGCAACGCCGCGUGAGGGAGGAAGGCCUGUGGGUUGUAAACCUCUUUUCUCAGGGAAGAAGUACUGACGGUACCUGAGGAAUCAGCAUCGGCUAACUCCGUGCCAGCAGCCGCGGUAAUACGGAGGAUGCAAGCGUUAUCCGGAAUUAUUGGGCGUAAAGCGUCCGUAGGCGGUUAUUUAAAUCUGCUGUCAAAGACUGCAGCUCAACUGUGGGCAGGCAGUGGAAACUGAGUAACUAGAGAGCGGCAGGGGUAGAGGGAAUUCCCAGUGUAGCGGUGAAAUGCGUAGAUAUUGGGAAGAACACCAGUGGCGAAGGCGCUCUACUGGGCCGUAACUGACGCUGAGGGACGAGAGCUAGGGGAGCGAAAGGGAUUAGAUACCCCUGUAGUCCUAGCUGUAAACGAUGGAUACUAGGUGUUGGACGUAUCGACCCGUUCAGUACCGAAGCAAACGCGUUAAGUAUCCCGCCUGGGGAGUACGC
RNAcentral lists this ribosomal RNA (816 nucleotides) under uncultured cyanobacterium. Its description in RNAcentral is "bacterial SSU rRNA". It matches the Rfam family "Bacterial small subunit ribosomal RNA", at positions 28 to 885 of the family's 1533-position model. Lineage: Bacteria; Bacillati; Cyanobacteriota. The record is from RNAcentral.